UCUUAAUUGUUUCUUGGCAUUACACUAUGAAUAUGGAGGACUCAAAACUAUAAAUCAGAUUGGUGAGUUUAUUUCUAUUGAGCAGGCAUUCUUCAAUUGGACAUUGUUUACCAUAUUUAACAGAAUAUAAUAACAUUAAAAAAAGUUGGAACUGCAUAUCUGAUUGAGAGCUGUAUUGUUA
Non-coding RNA from Schizosaccharomyces pombe (fission yeast), 181 nucleotides. NCBI's taxonomy places the organism in Eukaryota, Fungi, Ascomycota, Schizosaccharomycetes, Schizosaccharomycetales, Schizosaccharomycetaceae. The record is from the annotation of a GenBank genome assembly.